AGCUACCCAGCAAUGGGAUGCGAAUCUCGAAAGCCUGUCUCAGUUCGGAUUGGAGGCUGAAACCCGCCUCCCAUGAAGUUGGAUUCGCUAGUAAUCGCGGAUCAGCAUGCCGCGGUGAAUACGUUCCCGGGCCUUGUACACACCGCCCGUCACACCAUGAGAGUCGGGAACACCCGAAGUCCGUAGUCUAACCGCAAGGGGGACGCGGCCGAAGGUGGGUUCGAUAAUUGGGGUGAAGUCGUAACAAGGUACC
RNAcentral lists this ribosomal RNA (253 nucleotides) under uncultured bacterium. RNAcentral describes it as "partial 16S ribosomal RNA". It matches the Rfam family "Bacterial small subunit ribosomal RNA", at positions 1248 to 1500 of the family's 1533-position model. The record is from RNAcentral.